AAGGAUUUAAGUUAAGAAUAAACUUGUAGUCUUCAAAACUGCGUAUAAAGAUCCCUCUUUAAGCCUUA
This 68-nucleotide transfer RNA is filed under the name Ochthebius scopuli. Its description in RNAcentral is "tRNA-Trp". Lineage: Eukaryota; Metazoa; Arthropoda; Insecta; Coleoptera; Hydraenidae. The record is from RNAcentral.